AUUGAACGCUGGCGGCAGGCCUAACACAUGCAAGUCGAACGAGUGGCGGACGGGUGAGUAAUGUCUGGGAAACUGACUGAUGGAGGGGGAUCACCACUGGAAACGGAAGCUAAUACCGCAUACCAUCAGAUGUGCCCAGAUGGGAUUAGCUUGUUGGUGGGGUAACGGCUCACAAAGGCGACGAUCCCUAGCUGGUCUGAGAGGAGGACCAGCCACACUGUAACUGUGACACGGUCCAGACUCCUACGGUAGGCAGCAGUGGGGAAUAUUGCACAAUGGGCUCAAGCCGGAGGCAGCCAUGCCGCGUGUAUGUAGAAGGCCUUCGGUUUGUAAAGUACUUUCAGCGGGGAGGCGUUACCCGCAGAAGAAGCAACGGCUAACUCCGUGCCAGCAGCCGCGGUAAUUC
This 406-nucleotide ribosomal RNA is filed under the name uncultured bacterium. RNAcentral describes it as "partial 16S ribosomal RNA". It matches the Rfam family "Bacterial small subunit ribosomal RNA", at positions 30 to 526 of the family's 1533-position model. The record is from RNAcentral.